This 112-nucleotide ribosomal RNA is filed under the name Helianthus annuus (common sunflower). Lineage: Eukaryota; Viridiplantae; Streptophyta; Magnoliopsida; Asterales; Asteraceae. The record is from RNAcentral.
GGUUGUUACAUUACUAAUUGUGGGACACAUGAAAACUCCACAAUUAAGCGUGCUUGGAUGAGAAUAAUACUAGGAUGAGUGAUCUCCUGGGAAGUUUUCAUCUGUACAACCA